CUUAAAACCCAAAGGACUUGACGGUACCCCAUAUCCACCUAGAGGAGCCUGUCCUAUAAUCGAUAACCCCCGCUUAACCUCACCAUUUUUAGCGUAUCAGCCUGUAUACCUCCGUCGUCAGCUUACCACGUGAGCGAAAUUUAGUAAGCCUAAUGUCCUCCUACGUCAACACGUCAGGUCAAGGUGCAGCAAACAAAAUGGGAAGAGAUGGGCUACACUUUCUAGUAUAGAAAAUACGAAAGACUAUUUAUGAAACCUAGUCAGAAGGCGGAUUUAGCAGUAAAAAUGAAUCAGAAAGUCUUUUUUAACUUGGCACUGGGGUGUGU
RNAcentral lists this ribosomal RNA (326 nucleotides) under Agalychnis callidryas (red-eyed leaf frog). Its description in RNAcentral is "partial 12S ribosomal RNA". It matches the Rfam family "Bacterial small subunit ribosomal RNA", at positions 893 to 1384 of the family's 1533-position model. The record is from RNAcentral. Lineage: Eukaryota; Metazoa; Chordata; Amphibia; Anura; Hylidae.